RNAcentral lists this transfer RNA (69 nucleotides) under Psilorhynchus balitora (Balitora minnow). RNAcentral describes it as "tRNA-His". It matches the Rfam family "tRNA". From Rfam's summary of the family: Transfer RNA (tRNA) molecules are approximately 80 nucleotides in length. Lineage: Eukaryota; Metazoa; Chordata; Actinopteri; Cypriniformes; Psilorhynchidae. The record is from RNAcentral.
GUGAGCAUAGUUUAAUAAAAACGUUAGAUUGUGAUUCUAAAAACAGGAGUUAAACUCUCCUUGCCCACC